RNAcentral lists this unclassified non-coding RNA (219 nucleotides) under Hevea brasiliensis (rubber tree). The record is from RNAcentral. Lineage: Eukaryota; Viridiplantae; Streptophyta; Magnoliopsida; Malpighiales; Euphorbiaceae.
GAAGGAGUGAGUACCUGAGCUUGUCUGCGAGGGGCGAGCAUCAGUUCAUAAAAGCAUAAAUGCUGAUUUCACAGGCCCUAUAAGAAGUCAGUUUUAGUUUCGAUCAGGAAAGAGAUUUCGAGAUGUAAGGAGGAUUUCUCUUGCCCUCUUGGAGAACUUCCUUCUUAUUUUAAGUUUCCUUCUGUCAGUUAAAGAACAUGAAUUAAAAACUUCCUUCUG